UACGUAGGGUGCGAGCGUUGUCCGGAAUUACUGGGCGUAAAGGGCUCGUAGGCGGCCAACUAAGUCAGACGUGAAAUCCCUCAGCUUAACUGGGGAACUGCGUCUGAUACUGGAUGGCUUGAGUUCGGGAGAGGGAUGCGGAAUUCCAGGUGUAGCGGUGAAAUGCGUAGAUAUCUGGAGGAACACCGGUGGCGAAGGCGGCAUCCUGGACCGACACUGACGCUGAGGAGCGAAAGCCAGGGGAGCAAACGGG
Molecule: ribosomal RNA, 253 nt
Filed under: uncultured bacterium
Lineage: Bacteria
Description: partial 16S ribosomal RNA
Rfam family: Bacterial small subunit ribosomal RNA
Source: RNAcentral